GACGAACGCUGGCGGCGUGCCUAAUACAUGCAAGUAGAACGCUGAAGGAGGAGCUUGCUCUUCUGGAUGAGUUGCGAACGGGUGAGUAACGCGUAGGUAACCUGCUUGGUAGCGGGGGAUAACUAUUGGAAACGAUAGCUAAUACCGCAUAAUAGUAGAUGUUGCAUGACAUUUGCUUGAAAGGUGCAAUUGCAUCACUACCAGAUGGACCUGCGUUGUAUUAGCUAGUUGGUGGGGUAACGGCUCACCAAGGCGACGAUACAUAGCCGACCUGAGAGGGUGAUCGGCCACACUGGGACUGAGACACGGCCCAGACUCCUACGGGAGGCAGCAGUAGGGAAUCUUCGGCAAUGGACGGAAGUCUGACCGAGCAACGCCGCGUGAGUGAAGAAGGUUUUCGGAUCGUAAAGCUCUGUUGUAAGAGAAGAACGAGUGUGAGAGUGGAAAGUUCACACUGUGACGUAUCUACCA
RNAcentral lists this ribosomal RNA (471 nucleotides) under Streptococcus sp. oral taxon 064. Its description in RNAcentral is "bacterial SSU rRNA". It matches the Rfam family "Bacterial small subunit ribosomal RNA", at positions 28 to 485 of the family's 1533-position model. The record is from RNAcentral. Lineage: Bacteria; Bacillati; Bacillota; Bacilli; Lactobacillales; Streptococcaceae.